AUACGUAGGGUGCAAGCGUUAAUCGGAAUUACUGGGCGUAAAGCGUGCGCAGGCGGUUUUGUAAGACAGAGGUGAAAUUCCCGGGCUCAACCUGGGAACUGCCUUUGUGACUGCAAGGCUAGAGUACGGCCGAGGGGGAUGGAAUUCCGCGUGUAGCAGUGAAAUGCGUAGAUAUGCGGAGGAACACCGAUGGCGAAGGCAAUCCCCUGGUCCUGUACUGACGCGCAUGCACGAAAGCGUGGGGAGCAAACAGGAUUAGAUACCCUGGUAGUCCACGCCCGAAACGAUGUCAACUGGUUGUUGGGUCUUCAUUGACUCAGUAACGAAACUAACGCGUGAAGUGGACCGCCUGGGGAGUACGGCCGCAAGGUUGAAACUCAAAUGAAUUGACGGUG
This 395-nucleotide ribosomal RNA is filed under the name uncultured bacterium. RNAcentral's name for it is "partial 16S ribosomal RNA". It matches the Rfam family "Bacterial small subunit ribosomal RNA", at positions 523 to 918 of the family's 1533-position model. The record is from RNAcentral.